Molecule: long non-coding RNA, 445 nt
Organism: Pseudophryne corroboree (corroboree frog)
Lineage: Eukaryota; Metazoa; Chordata; Amphibia; Anura; Myobatrachidae
Exons: 4
Source: RefSeq, a predicted model, not a curated record
UGCAGUUUCUCUGUUGUACACAGGUGCUUUCAGUGACACGCCUAUGACACGCAUGAAGAGAGAGUAGGAAAGAGAGAGAAGAACGUGUGUGGGGGGAGAGAAACCCCAGCAGCACCAGGAACAGCAUCUAGGACCAUGAGGUGUGAACUGCAUGUAAUACCCAAAGGCUUUGGCACAGUGAAGGCUGUUCAGUCUGGCUCAGUGGGAGUCACCAUGAUUUAUAGUCAGCUUCUGUAGACCUUCAGUCAAUGAACAACACUGGUCACUGAGCGCCGUGAGUGACUGAGGAGAGAAUAAUUGGAUGCCGAAAAAUGAUUCUCUAGCCCUCAGGUGUAUUACUCAUGGAGACACAGCUCAUUGGAUCAGGAAAAUCUGGGUCAAAAUGGGAGGAAAGUGACAGAAAAGUCAAAAAUCUCCAACACACUAAGGAAAUAACAAAGACACA